CGUAAUAGCUCACUGGUCGAGUGACCCUGCGCCGAAAAUUUAACGGGGCUAAAUCAUACACCGAAGCUUGGGAUUGACAGAUAUUCUUCAUGUUUUCAGGCAGGAUAGGAAAGAGAGAAAAUCUGAUGACGCCGAAGAAUGAGGCGGCAUUAAAUUUCUGUUCAAGUAAAAGCAUGAAGAUGUGAAGAAUAUCUGUCGAUGGUAGGAGAGCGUUCUAUGUGGGGAGAAGUCUGAGCGGAAGCGCAGGUGGACUGCAUAGAAGUGAGAAUGCCGGAAUGAGUAGCGCGAAAUAUGUGAGAAUCAUAUUGGCCGAAAGUCUAAGGUUUUUGGAGGAAGGUUCGUCCGCUCCAAGUAAGUCGGGAGCUAAGGCGAGGCCGAAAGGCGUAGUCGAUGCACAUACGGUAGAUAUUCCGUAACCGCCGAAGGAUUAAAGCAAAGGGACACCUGCGAAGCGUGUAACCCGGGCGAUGGUUGCCCCGGGCGUAAGGGACCGAAAUUUAGUAGGGAAGUACAUGUAGAGCAGGGCGAGAAAAGCUUUGUGUAUAUCCAAGGCGCCCGUACCGCAAACCGACACAGGUAGAUAGGAAGAGAAUUCUAAGGCCAACGGGAGAAGGGUAGUUAAGGAACUCGGCAAAUUGGUCCCGUAACUUAGGGAAAAGGGACGCUCCAGAGAUGGAGCCGCAGUGAAUAGGCCCAGGCGACUGUUUAGCAAAAACACAGGUCUCUGCCAAAUCGAAAGAUGAAGUAUAGGGGCUGACACCUGCCCGGUGCUGGAAGGUUAAGAGGAGAUGUGCAAGCAUUGAAUUGAAGCCCCAGUAAACGGCGGCCGUAACUAUAACGGUCCUAAGGUAGCGAAAUUCCUUGUCGGGUAAGUUCCGACCCGCACGAAUGGUGUAACGAUCUGGGCACUGUCUCAAUUACCCGCCCGGCGAAAUUGUAGUACCGGUGAAGAUGCCGGUUACCCGCGACAAGACGGAAAGACCCCAUGGAGCUUUACUGUAGCUUGAUAUUGGGUUUCGGUAAUUUAUGUACAGGAUAGGCGGGAGACUAGGAAGCCAGUACGCCAGUAUUGGUGGAGUCGUCCUUGGGAUACCGCUCUUAAGUUGCUGGAAUUCUAACCUGCGGCCGUGAAUCCGGCCGGGGGACAUUGUCAGGUGGGCAGUUUGACUGGGGCGGUCGCCUCCAAAAGAGUAACGGAGGCGCUCAAAGGUUCGCUCAGCACGGACGGAAACCGUGCUUUUGAGUGUAAACGCAGAAGCGAGCCUGACUGCGAGGGUGACGGCCCGAGCAGAAACGAAAGUUGGAGUUAGUGAUCCGGCGGUAUGUGAAUGGAAAUGCCGUCGCUCAACGGAUAAAAGCUACCCUGGGGAUAACAGGCUGAUCUCCCCCAAGAGUCCACAUCGACGGGGAGGUUUGGCACCUCGAUGUCGGCUCAUCACAUCCUGGGGCUG
Molecule: ribosomal RNA, 1451 nt
Filed under: human gut metagenome
Description: bacterial LSU rRNA
Rfam family: Bacterial large subunit ribosomal RNA
Source: RNAcentral